ACGCACGCUGGCGGCGUGCUUAACCCAUGCAAGUCGAACGGAAAGACCCUGCUUUUGUGGGGUGCUCGAGCGGCGAACGGGUGAGUAACACGUGAGUAACCUGCCCUUGACUUUGGGAUAACUUCAGGAAACUGGGGCUAAUACCGGAUAGGAGCUCCUGCUGCAUGGUGGGGGUUGGAAAGUUUCGGCGGUUGGGGAUGGACUCGCGGCUUAUCAGCUUGUUGGUGGGGUAGUGGCUUACCAAGGCUUUGACGGGUAGCCGGCCUGAGAGGGUGACCGGCCACAUUGGGACUGAGCUACGGCCCAGACUCCUCCGGGAGGCAGCAGUGGGGAAUAUUGCACAAUGGGCGGAAGCCUGAUGCAGCAACGCCGCGUGCGGGAUGACGGCCUUCGGGUUGUAAACCGCUUUCGCCUGUGACGAAGCGUGAGUGACGGUAAUGGGUAAAGAAGCACCGGCUAACUACGUG
Molecule: ribosomal RNA, 467 nt
Filed under: uncultured bacterium
Lineage: Bacteria
Description: partial 16S ribosomal RNA
Rfam family: Bacterial small subunit ribosomal RNA
Source: RNAcentral